GUGCCAAAAAAUAUGAAAACUUGACGUUCGUGACGUCACAUACAAUAUGAAAACUUGACGUUCGUGACGUCACAUACCAAACAAUGACGUCAUUCAAAAGAUUGACCUAAUUUGAGGAAAUUUUUUCUUUAGCAAAAAAAAAAAACAAAACUGACUUUAUAUAUAAAAAAAAAAAAGUAGGGGUGUGAUAAAGGGUAUGCGAUAAAGGGU
This 210-nucleotide long non-coding RNA is filed under the name Mytilus galloprovincialis (Mediterranean mussel). The record is from RNAcentral. Lineage: Eukaryota; Metazoa; Mollusca; Bivalvia; Mytilida; Mytilidae.